Molecule: long non-coding RNA, 398 nt
Filed under: Struthio camelus australis
Lineage: Eukaryota; Metazoa; Chordata; Aves; Struthioniformes; Struthionidae
Description: lncRNA (ENSSCUG00000008524.1)
Source: RNAcentral
GUGUAACCAGGAGAAAGGCCUUUUGAGCUAGGAAAAUGUGCUAGUCUAGGAACAGAAUGACGAGUUAAGCCCAGAGAAGUUCACAGGGAAGGUGAAGAGUCUGGCAUAUGGAUCCUCAGAGAACUGCGAAGAAGAAACUGCAAACUGCUGCAGAUGCAUUUGGUGUUUAUCAAGCAGAUGUACUCCUCUGGAUGGAAAGAAACAGAGCUGCUGGAUCAGAUGCCUGUUGGUCCAGGACAGCUCUUGAACCUUUGGAUGCUCUACAGUCCCUUGAACCCUUGGGUAGUCUACAGUAUUUCCGUAAGGUAUCUUCAAAGGCCUUGGAUUCUACAGUAAAUAAAUCCAGAAGAAUGCUAAUGAGAUCUGAAGACAUUUUUUCAAAAUGGCAAGUGAGGUGA